UCCGUGUCCCUAUGGCCUAUUGUGUGUCUGUGUGUUUUGAACAAUGUUUCCUAAACAAUUUCUAAAACUUUGAGUCCCCUCAUUCCCACACACAUAUCAGCUAAGCUCCUUUUACUUCAAUUAGUUCACCUUUUCCGUUUUCAACACGUCCGUCACACCUUUGCCCACAAUCACCAUUUCGGAGGAAACAAUUUGUUAUUUACAUUACAUGCGGGCAACAACAACAACGACGACACCAUCCAUGCAGCAGUCAUUGUUGUCAUACAGGGAGCCAGCCAAAGAUAACAAUUUCUGUUCUCCCCUAGCUAGGAUAGCUGCUACGAUACGAGUCAUGCGGAGAGCAGAGCAAAGAACAUGUUUUUAAUUCAUCCCUAGCUAGCUGGGGAGGAGCCAGUCCCCUACCAUCAUGCAAGGUGUAUAAAAAUACAACAAUGUCGUCGGUUGUUUGUGUUAUCCUUUUUCUUCAUGAUGUUGAUGUUGUGAUGAUCUAGAUACCUUAUCCAAAGGAUAUCACUCGGAAUGAAGUAGAAAAAUACUGCAAGAGUACUACAAUAGGAGGACAACAAUACACUCACUGCCAAACACACCACCUUGAGAUAUAAAUUCAAUACAAUACUAGGACUUAACACAACGACAACAACGAGGACGAUACAAUAAAACAGCAACCUAUGAAUAAUGGGAAAGUGUAAUCCUCUGGGAUGAAUAAAAAAUGGAAAUACAUAUCUAGAUGACCUAAGAUGUUUUUGUAAACAAGAUAAAAGAAAAUCUGUACAAGGGAGAUAUUUUGUUCCGUAGCUGAUGCUGCUGCUGCAGAUGUAUUGGCUGACAUUUUCGACA
Musca domestica (house fly) is the source of this 837-nucleotide long non-coding RNA. RefSeq lists it as uncharacterized. The record is from RefSeq and is a predicted model, not a curated record. NCBI's taxonomy places the organism in Eukaryota, Metazoa, Arthropoda, Insecta, Diptera, Muscidae. The transcript has 3 exons.